CCUACGGGUGGCAGCAGUGAGGAAUAUUGGUCAAUGGACGGAAGUCUGAACCAGCCAUGCCGCGUGCAGGAAGACGGCUCUAUGAGUUGUAAACUGCUUUUGUACAAGGGUAAACCUGAAUACGUGUAUUCAGCUGUAUGUACUGUACGAAUAAGGAUCGGCUAACUCCGUGCCAGCAGCCGCGGUAAUACGGAGGAUCCAAGCGUUAUCCGGAUUUAUUGGGUUUAAAGGGUGUGUAGGUGGAUUGUUAAGUUAGUGGUGAAAGGUCCGAGCUUAACUCGGGAAUUGCCUCUAAUACUGGUGAUCUAGAGAGUAGUUGAGGUAGGCGGAAUGCAUGGUGUAGCGGUGAAAUGCUUAGAGAUCAUACAGAACACCGAUUGCGAAGGCAGCUUACCAAUCUAUAUCUGACAUUGAGGCACGAAAGCGUGGGGAGCAAACAGGAUUAGAUACCCUUGUAGUC
This 460-nucleotide ribosomal RNA is filed under the name uncultured bacterium. RNAcentral's name for it is "partial 16S ribosomal RNA". It matches the Rfam family "Bacterial small subunit ribosomal RNA", at positions 338 to 795 of the family's 1533-position model. The record is from RNAcentral.